GAUUAGUGGCGAACGGGUGAGUAACACGUGAGUAACCUGCCCCUGACUCUGGGAUAAGCGUUGGAAACGACGUCUAAUACUGGAUAUGACUGCCGGCCGCAUGGUCUGGUGGUGGAAAGAUUUUUUGGUUGGGGAUGGACUCGCGGCCUAUCAGCUUGUUGGUGAGGUAAUGGCUCACCAAGGCGACGACGGGUAGCCGGCCUGAGAGGGUGACCGGCCACACUGGGACUGAGACACGGCCCAGACUCCUACGGGAGGCAGCAGUGGGGAAUAUUGCACAAUGGGCGAAAGCCUGAUGCAGCAACGCCGCGUGAGGGAUGACGGCCUUCGGGUUGUAAACCUCUUUUAGUAGGGAAGAAGCGUAAGUGACGGUACCUGCAGAAAAAGCACCGGCUAACUACGUGCCAGCAGCCGCGGUAAUACGUAGGGUGCAAGCGUUGUCCGGAAUUAUUGGGCGUAAAGAGCUCGUAGGCGGUUUGUCGCGUCUGCUGUGAAAUCCCGAGGCUCAACCUCGGGCUUGCAGUGGGUACGGGCAGACUAGAGUGCGGUAGGGGAGAUUGGAAUUCCUGGUGUAGCGGUGGAAUGCGCAGAUAUCAGGAGGAACACCGAUGGCGAAGGCAGAUCUCUGGGCCGUAACUGACGCUGAGGAGCGAAAGCGUGGGGAGCGAACAGGAUUAGAUACCCUGGUAGUCCACGCCGUAAACGUUGGGCGCUAGAUGUAGGGACCUUUCCACGGUUUCUGUGUCGUAGCUAACGCAUUAAGCGCCCCGCCUGGGGAGUACGGCCGCAAGGCUAAAACUCAAAGGAAUUGACGGGGGCCCGCACAAGCGGCGGAGCAUGCGGAUUAAUUCGAUGCAACGCGAAGAACCUUACCAAGGCUUGACAUACACCGGAAACGGCCAGAGAUGGUCGCCCCCUUGUGGUCGGUGUACAGGUGGUGCAUGGUUGUCGUCAGCUCGUGUCGUGAGAUGUUGGGUUAAGUCCCGCAACGAGCGCAACCCUCGUUCUAUGUUGCCAGCGCGUUAUGGCGGGGACUCAUAGGAGACUGCCGGGGUCAACUCGGAGGAAGGUGGGGAUGACGUCAAAUCAUCAUGCCCCUUAUGUCUUGGGCUUCACGCAUGCUACAAUGGCCGGUACAAAGGGCUGCGAUACCGUAAGGUGGAGCGAAUCCCAAAAAGCCGGUCUCAGUUCGGAUUGAGGUCUGCAACUCGACCUCAUGAAGUCGGAGUCGCUAGUAAUCGCAGAUCAGCAACGCUGCGGUGAAUACGUUCCCGGGCCUUGUACACACCGCCCGUCAAGUCAUGAAAGUCGGUAACACCCGAAGCCGGUGGCCUAACCCUUGUGGAAG
Molecule: ribosomal RNA, 1348 nt
Filed under: Curtobacterium citreum
Lineage: Bacteria; Bacillati; Actinomycetota; Actinomycetes; Micrococcales; Microbacteriaceae
Description: 16S ribosomal RNA
Rfam family: Bacterial small subunit ribosomal RNA
Source: RNAcentral